Molecule: non-coding RNA, 180 nt
Filed under: Desulfuromonadales bacterium C00003093
Lineage: Bacteria; Pseudomonadati; Thermodesulfobacteriota; Desulfuromonadia; Desulfuromonadales
Description: 6S RNA
Rfam family: 6S / SsrS RNA
About the family: E. coli 6S RNA was the first non coding RNA to be sequenced, but its function was unknown until recently. It consists of 184 nucleotides that fold into an extended hairpin structure with a large single-stranded internal bulge.
Source: RNAcentral
GACUCUCUGCCCUGCAGGUGAGGUCAGAACGUCCACUCGGAAUAGCGAAACAUUCGGGAUCGUCUCAGAGGACCGGUGUGCCAGCCCACCUUGGAGUGGGACGCCUGAAGGGCCUACAGCUGAUCCCACCUUAUUGGCACUCGAUGUGAGUCCAAUGACCCACGGCAGAGUGGAGAGUCG